GAGUGGCGGACGGGUGAGUAACGCGUGAGCAACCUGCCCUUCAGAGGGGGAUAGCGUCUGGAAACGGACGGUAAUACCGCAUAACGUAUGAUGAUCGCAUGGUCGACAUACCAAAACUGAGGUGCUGAAGGAUGGGCUCGCGUUGGAUUAGAUAGUUGGUGGGGUAACGGCCUACCAAGUCGACGAUCCAUAGCCGGACUGAGAGGUUGAACGGCCACAUUGGGACUGAGACACGGCCCAGACUCCUACGGGAGGCAGCAGUGGGGAAUAUUGCACAAUGGGGGAAACCCUGAUGCAGCAACGCCGCGUGAAGGAAGAAGGUCUUCGGAUUGUAAACUCCUGUUGUUGGGGAAGAUAAUGACGGUACCCAACAAGGAAGUGACGGCUAACUACGUGCCAGCAGCCGCGGUAAAACGUAGGUCACAAGCGUUGUCCGGAAUUACUGGGUGUAAAGGGAGCGCAGGCGGGAAGACAAGUUGGAAGUGAAAUCUAUGGGCUCAACCCAUAAACUGCUUUCAAAACUGUUUUUCUUGAGUAGUGCAGAGGUAGGCGGAAUUCCCGGUGUAGCGGUGGAAUGCGUAGAUAUCGGGAGGAACACCAGUGGCGAAGGCGGCCUACUGGGCACCAACUGACGCUGAGGCUCGAAAGUGUGGGUAGCAAACAGAAUUAGAUACCCUGGUAGUCCACACCGUAAACGAUGAUUACUAGGUGUUGGAGGAUUGACCCCUUCAGUGCCGCAGUUAACACAAUAAGUAAUCCACCUGGGGAGUACGACCGCAAGGUUGAAACUCAAAGGAAUUGACGGGGGCCCGCACAAGCAGUGGAGUAUGUGGUUUAAUUCGACGCAACGCGAAGAACCUUACCAAGUCUUGACAUCCCUUGACAGGCAUAGAAAUAUGUUUUCUCUUCGGAGCAAGGAGACAGGUGGUGCAUGGUUGUCGUCAGCUCGUGUCGUGAGAUGUUGGGUUAAGUCCCGCAACGAGCGCAACCCUUAUGGUCAGUUACUACGUAAGAGGACUCUGGCCAGACUGCCGUUGACAAAACGGAGGAAGGUGGGGAUGACGUCAAAUCAUCAUGCCCUUAUGACUUGGGCUACACACGUACUACAAUGGCGUUAAACAAAGAGAAGCAAGACCGCGAGGUGGAGCAAAACUCAGAAACAACGUCCCAGUUCGGACUGCAGGCUGCAACUCGCCUGCACGAAGUCGGAAUUGCUAGUAAUCGUGGAUCAGCAUGCCACGGUGAAUACGUUCCCGGGCCUUGCACACACCACCCGUCA
RNAcentral lists this ribosomal RNA (1279 nucleotides) under uncultured bacterium. Its description in RNAcentral is "bacterial SSU rRNA". It matches the Rfam family "Bacterial small subunit ribosomal RNA", at positions 93 to 1399 of the family's 1533-position model. The record is from RNAcentral.